GAUGAACGCUGGCGGCGUGCCUAAUACAUGCAAGUCGAGCGAACGGACGAGAAGCUUGCUUUUCUGAUGUUAGCGGCGGACGGGUGAGUAACACGUGGAUAACCUACCUAUAAGACUGGGAUAACUUCGGGAAACCGGAGCUAAUACCGGAUAAUAUUUUGAACCGCAUGGUUCAAAAGUGAAAGACGGUCUUGCUGUCACUUAUAGAUGGAUCCGCGCUGCAUUAGCUAGUUGGUAAGGUAACGGCUUACCAAGGCAACGAUGCAUAGCCGACCUGAGAGGGUGAUCGGCCACACUGGAACUGAGACACGGUCCAGACGCCUACGGGAGGCAGCAGUAGGGAAUCUUCCGCAAUGGGCGAAAGCCUGACGGAGCAACGCCGCGUGAGUGAUGAAGGUCUUCGGAUCGUAAAACUCUGUUAUUAGGGAAGAACAUAUGUGUAAGUAACUGUGCACAGCUUGACGGUACCUAAUCAGAAAGCCACGGCUAACUACGUG
RNAcentral lists this ribosomal RNA (497 nucleotides) under uncultured bacterium. RNAcentral's name for it is "partial 16S ribosomal RNA". It matches the Rfam family "Bacterial small subunit ribosomal RNA", at positions 28 to 507 of the family's 1533-position model. The record is from RNAcentral.